AUUCUAAAACAAUGCUUGAACAAGUAAUUUUGGAUCCGUAAUAUAGCCCAAAUCACAAAAAUACCCGAAAAAGUACUUAAAGGUCAAAAUUUGGGGUCGACAAAAAGUCAAUGAAAAAGUUCCUUUGUCCUGCUUCUUUCGUCGGAGGGCUCUCUUUGGGCUAUUCGAAAAGGUAUCACAUGCCAAGUUUGGCCUCACGGUAUAAAAGUUAUAGAGUCCUAAAGUUUUAACCAAAAAAAACAAAUUAAAAAAAAAGAGGGAUGCAACACGAGGACUUCCCGGGAGGUCACCCAUCCUAGUACUACUCUCGCCCAAGCACGCUUAACUAAAUGUCAAAAUUUGGAGUCGACAAAAAAUCAAUUGAUAUGUUCCAUUGUCCUGCUACUUUCAUCGGAGGGCUCUCUUUGGGCUUUCCGAAAAUGUAUCACAUGCCAAGUUUGGCCUCACUGUAUAAAAGUUAUACAGUCAUAAAGUUUUAACCAAAGAAAAAUAUUUAAAAAAAACGGAUGCAACACGAGGACUUCCCUGAGGUCACCAAUCCUAGUACUACUCUCGCCCAAGCACGCUUAACUACGGAGUUUUGAUGGGAUCUGGUGUAUUAGUGCUGGUAUAAUCUCAUCCGUUAGUAUAGGCAAUGCAAUGGUGUAUAUUCUUUUUUGAAGACUUGAUGAACCAUUCGUCGUGGGUCCCACCCGCUGUGUAGGGAUACCCCAUCUAGUCUUAACGAGCUUUGAUCAUGAAAAAAAUUCUAAAACAAUGCUUGAACAAGUAAUUUUGGGUCCGUAAUAUAGCCCAAAUCCCAAAAUACCCGAAAAAGUACUUAAAGGUCAAAAUUUGGGAUCGACAAAAAGUCAAUGGAAAAGUUCGUUUGUCCUGCUUCUUUCGUCGGAGGGCUCUCUUUGGGCUUUCCGAAAAGGUAUCACAUGCCAAGUUUGGCCUCACGGUAUAAAAGUUAUAGAAUCAUAAAGUUUUAACCAAAAAAAACAAAUUAAAAAAAAAGAGGGAUGCAACACGAGGACUUCCCGGGAGGUCACCCAUCCUAGUACUACUCUCGCCCAAGCACGCUUAACUAAAGGUUAAAAUUUGGAGUCGACAAAAAAUCAAUGGAUAUGUUCCAUUGUCCUGCUUCUUUCAUCGGAGAGCUCUCUUUGGGCUUUCCGAAAAGGUAUCACAUGCCAAGUUUGGCCUCACUGUAUAAAAGUUAUAGAGUCAUAAAGUUUUAACCAAUGAAAAAAAUUAAAAAAAAAGAGGGAUGCAACACGAGGACUUCCCGGGAGGUCACCCAUCCUAGUACUACUCUCGCCCAAGCCCCCUUAACUGCGGAGUUCUGAUGGGAUCCGGUGUAUUAGUGUUGGUAUGAUCUUAUCUGUUAGUAUAUGCAAUGCAAUCGUAUAUAUUCUUUUUGGAAGAAUUGAUGAACCAUUCGCCGUGGGUCCCACCCGCUGUGUAGGGAUACCCCAACUAGUCUUAACGAGCUUUGAUGCAUGAAAAAAUUCUAAAACAAUGCUUGAACAAGUUAUUUUGGGUCCGUAAUCUAGCCCAAAUCACAAAAAUGCCCGAAAAAGUACUUAAAGGUCAAAAUUUGUGGUCGGCAAAAAGUCAAAGGAAAAGUUCGUUUGUCCUGUUUCUUUCGUCGGAGGGUUCUCUUUGGGAUUUCCGAAAAGGUAUCACAUGCCUAGUUUGGCCUCACGGUAUAAAAGUUAUAGAGUCAUAAAGUUUUAACCAAAAAAAACAAAUUAAAAAAAAAGAGGGAUGCAACACGAGGACUUCCCGGGAGGUCACCCAUCCUAGUACAAUAUUCGCCCAAGCACGCUUAACUGCGGAGUUCUGAUGGGAUCUC
Molecule: small RNA, 1840 nt
Filed under: Arabidopsis thaliana (thale cress)
Lineage: Eukaryota; Viridiplantae; Streptophyta; Magnoliopsida; Brassicales; Brassicaceae
Description: ATSL275220
Source: RNAcentral